Molecule: ribosomal RNA, 232 nt
Filed under: uncultured bacterium
Lineage: Bacteria
Description: partial 16S ribosomal RNA
Rfam family: Bacterial small subunit ribosomal RNA
Source: RNAcentral
GGGUGAGUAAUAUAUCGGAACGUACCUAGUAAUGGGGAACAACCAAUCGAAAGGUUGGCUAAUACCGCAUACGACCUACGGGUGAAAGCAGGGGAUCGUAAGACCUUGCGUUAAUGGAGCGGCCGAUAUCUGAUUAGGUAGUUGGUAUGGUAAAGGCCUACCAAGCCGACGAUCAGUAGCUGGUCUGAGAGGACGAUCAGCCACACUGGAACUGAGACACGGUCCAGACUCC